Molecule: non-coding RNA, 27 nt
Filed under: Mus musculus (house mouse)
Lineage: Eukaryota; Metazoa; Chordata; Mammalia; Rodentia; Muridae
Source: RNAcentral
UACUGCAGCUUAGCAAUGCUUCUGUGU